AUGGCUGUGACCGACCCCAUUGUCUCGCACGCCGACAGGCGGCGCACCAGCGCGUUCUCCUUCACCAUCCUCUUCAUGGAGAAGGCGAGCGUCAGCGUCACCGCGAGCGGGAGGCCCUCGGGGAUGGCGACGACGAUGAUGGUGACGGCCUGCUGGAAGAUGACGACGAGGGAGCUGAAGACGGCGUCGAAGGUGACGUGGCCCUUGUUGAACAGCGGCUUCCCUUGGUCGUCCUUGGUGCUGCCGGUGAAGUGGCGCGCGGUGAGCACGGUGAACACGAGCACCGCGACGGCGACGCCGAUCUUGCCAAUGCUUGAGGUGAGGCGCUCGAGGCGCUCCUGGAGCGGCGUUGGCUCGGCGGUCUCCUUGGUUAUGCUGCUCAUCAUCUCGCCCCACAAGGUGUCGGUGCCGACGGCGGUCACGAGCAUUCGGCCGUAGCCGUCGACGAUCUUCACGCCGCCGGUGAGGAAGGGGUUCUUCUCGGCAUCGAUCUCGAUCGGGUGGGGCUCGCCUGUCAUGCUCGACUCGUCCACCUGCAGGCCGUGACCCUCCAAGAAAACCCCGUCCGCCGGCACCGAGUCCCCGAUCUUGAGUAUCACCACGUCGCCGACGAGGAUGUCGAAUAUGGAGACCUCCUGCCUCCGGCCGGCGCGGACUACGGUGACUGCGAUGUUGUCGGACUCACUGGCCAGCUUGUCGAACCGCUUGGCCUGGCUGUGGUUGCUGACGGCGGACACGGCAGCAACGAGGAAGACGGCGAGGAAGAUACUUACACCGUCGUACCAGCCGUCCUUGAGGCCGUGCUCCUUGAUGCCGAAGCCGAGGGAGACGACGGCGCAGACGAGGAGCACGAUGAGGAAGACGUCCUUGAGCGCGUCCCAGACGUGGCUGAAGAAGCUCUUGGGCCUGGGCUUGGGGUACGUGUUCCCGCCGAACGACUCCCUGCGGCGCCGCACGUCGUCGCCGUCGCCGCGGAUGCCGCGCUCGGCGUGGGACGCCAGCGCGGCCGCGAUGCCGGCGCCACCCCCGAGGCGGCGGAAGCAGUCUUGGCGCUUCUCCUUGACCAGGCCCUUGAAAAGCUCGUCAUCGGCGGCGACGGAGAAUGCGGCGGCGUCGGCGUCGGAGUCGCUGCCGUCGUGGUGGAUCUUGAUGGCGACGUAG
Molecule: ribosomal RNA, 1161 nt
Filed under: Triticum aestivum (bread wheat)
Lineage: Eukaryota; Viridiplantae; Streptophyta; Magnoliopsida; Poales; Poaceae
Description: partial small subunit ribosomal RNA
Source: RNAcentral